CUCUUUCUCUCUUUAAGAGUUGCUACUGGUAUUGGUGCUACUGCUUGACGUCAUCGGCGCCUAAUCGCGAGACGUACUUGCCACACACACCGUAGAGAGUGGAUGAUCAGACGUCACAACGAUGCGUCCUCUUCGCUCGCGCACUCCAGUCUAAGGAGAUAAGCAUCCUUCUCCUUCUUUCGUAUAAUGAUGAUGAUGAUGAUGAUGAUGAUGAUGAUGAUGAUGAUGAUAAUGAUGAUAACGAUGACGACGAUUUAAAUGAUGACGAUAAUGAUAAUGAUGACGACAACAACGAGGUCCACCUCCUCCUGGAUCGCGCCGUCUCCUCACGUGUUGUUUCUCCACCUCCAGCUUCUCUUGAUUCUACACCACCUCCCACUCUCGUCCUCGCGCGAGACGUUCGACGUCCGUCGUCGUACGUACCCACUAGAUUCAUCGAUCGAACCACCACGAUGAUCUUUUCAUCGAUUCCUUCUACUCUUUAUUCCUUGUGUUUUGAAUUUUCCGUUAAGAAGAUCACCAAGAGAAAAAUAAGAGAAAUACAAGGAUGGAAUUUGCAACAAAA
This 565-nucleotide long non-coding RNA is filed under the name Polistes fuscatus (common paper wasp). RNAcentral's name for it is "uncharacterized LOC122520064". The record is from RNAcentral. Lineage: Eukaryota; Metazoa; Arthropoda; Insecta; Hymenoptera; Vespidae.